ACACUCACCACUUUGAUUCCAACAGCGAAGUCGAAGUCGUGGUCAGGAGUAAGACUGAGCUGGGUAGAGAUAGUAAGCCAACAUGAUGUGUCUUCUAGGGGCAUGAGAGAUGGAGAAAGAAAGCCUCAGCUACCAUGAGACUUUGUUCAGUGCUAUGAUCUGAAUGUGUUUCUGCCAAAUUCCUAUGCUGAAAUCCUAACUCCCAAGAAGAUGGUACUACAAGAUGAUUGGAAGGUGAUUAGGUCAUGAAGGCUCUGCCCUUAUGGGAUUAGUGCCCUCAUAAAAGGGGCACCAGAGAGCUAACUGCCUUACCCUUUCUCCAUGUGAGGACGGAAUGAGAGGGCGCCCUCAUCCAAACACUGAAUCUGCUGGUGCCUUGAUUUUGGACUCUACAGCCUUCAGAACUGUGAUAAAUAAAUUUCUGUUUUUUAUAAAUGACUCCAUCUAUAGUAUUUUGUUAUAGCAGCUUGAAAGGACAAAGACGUUCAGUUUAAAUCAUGAAUACAGACCCAUUUGUACCAAAAAUUAACACAGCAACAAACCUUUACUGAACACCUAUGAUGGGCCAGCUUUUGGGGACAUAGCAGUUAAUAAAAUAGAAAACCCCCCAACCCCUAUGGAGCUUACAUUCUACCAGGCAGAUUCAGUGUAUUAAUCUCUAAUGUGCCAGUUCACUAUCUCCUUCCAUCUGAGUCUUAAAAGUAUUUUUUUUUUCUUUGAGACUGAGUCUCCCUCUAUUGCCCAGGCUAGAGUGCAGUGGUGCAAUCUCAGCUCACUGCAACCUCUCCGCCUCUCAGGUUCAAGCAAUUCUCAUGCCUCAGCCUCCCGAGUAGCUGGGAUUACAAGCACCCGCCACCAUGCCCAGCUAAUUUUUGUAUUUUUAGCACAGACGGGGUUUCACCAUGUUGGCCAGGCUGGUUUCAAACUCCUGACCUCCAGUGAUCCGCUUACCUCAGCCUCCCAAAGUGCUGAGAUUACAGGCAUGAGCCACUGUGCCCAGCCUUAAAGUACUUUUUUGGAUGUUGACUUUUCUUUCUUAGGUGAUAUAAUGUAGUAGUAGUAAUCUCAAUUUGUGGGUGGAAAUAAAACACUUAGAUCAUUCUGGUUUAUGCAGAAUCUCAAAUUUACCCACAGCCAACCUGCCUCCUCUUUUGGAAAACAGGAGAAAAAAAUCCGAGAAAGGGAACGCUGAUUGAAAUAAACAAAGAGGGCCGGGCGCGGUGGCUCACGCCUGUAAUCCCAGCACUU
RNAcentral lists this long non-coding RNA (1248 nucleotides) under Homo sapiens (human). Its description in RNAcentral is "non-protein coding lnc-IL31RA-4:4". The record is from RNAcentral. Lineage: Eukaryota; Metazoa; Chordata; Mammalia; Primates; Hominidae.